GCCUACGGGAGGCAGCAGUGGGGAAUAUUGCACAAUGGGGGAAACCCUGAUGCAGCGACGCCGCGUGAGUGAAGAAGUAUUUCGGUAUGUAAAGCUCUAUCAGCAGGGAAGAAGCAGACGGUACCUGACUAAGAAGCCCCGGCUAACUACGUGCCAGCAGCCGCGGUAAUACGUAGGGGGCAAGCGUUAUCCGGAUUUACUGGGUGUAAAGGGAGCGUAGACGGCUAAGCAAGUCUGAAGUGAAAGCCCGGGGCCCAACCCCGGGACUGCUCUUGGAACUGCGCGGCUGGAGUGCAGGAGGGGCG
RNAcentral lists this ribosomal RNA (305 nucleotides) under uncultured bacterium. Its description in RNAcentral is "bacterial SSU rRNA". It matches the Rfam family "Bacterial small subunit ribosomal RNA", at positions 337 to 659 of the family's 1533-position model. The record is from RNAcentral.